GCAGAAAGUGGACACAACAAGCAGAGCAGUGCUGGACAUUAUGACCAAAACUACAGAAUACCUACAACCCAACCCAGCCUCCAGAGCGAAGCUCAGUAUGAUAAACACGAUGUCUAAGAUCCGUGGGCAGGAGAAGGGGCCAGGAUACCCUCAGACUGAGAGUUUGCUGGGAGACACCAUGCAGAGAUACGGACGGGACCUCGGAGAGGAGGCCAGCUUUGAUGCCUGUGUCCAAUACUCAGGGCUCAGUGAAUUAACUCUGCCAACCACCAAGGAGGUCAUCAGCCCCCGUUCCCAAUCCACCGUCUCCCAUCAGCGGGAGUCGGCAGCAGUUCGAACGGCACUGGGCUGGACGGCAACAAAUUCAGCACCGCAGACAACACAUCCUGUUUUCAUGCCCUCCUGAUCCUCUCCCUUAACUUAAGAUGAGGAAACAGCCUCUGCCUCCUCCAAAUUAUGCCAAUCGGCAGUUCUCACUCCUUCAGUUCCCAGUCUGCACCCUUAAGACCCAAAACCCGACUACACGGCUCUGAGGACGAGGUCUGAAUCCCACCUGUGCAGGAUGUUUUAACAGGGGUUCUGCUUACCUUUGGUAGUGCGCGUGUGGACUCUGCCCUCGGUCACAGAACAGUGGAGCUUUGGCUCGUCCGGCAGCUGGUGCUUUGUCCUGCGCACGGCGUGGGUCCGUUACCAAUCGAUCCAAUUGUUCCAUGUACGGGCCACCGAUUAAUGUUGUUCGUAGAUCUUCCUAAAUUCAAGACUGUUUACUCAGUGCACACUAAACAGAAAUAAAGAUGCAGACUCUGGAAUUAAUUGAAGAGAAGAGCCGGUCCCGUCUUUAUUCUGAGCUCAGUGUUACAAGCGAGGCGUUGUAUGGAGAAUGUCUAACAGUCUCAGGCAAUCAUAUUCUAUAUCACCGGCUGCCCAUAUUGGUUCUUCUGGUGUUGCCCAUAUUGUUUCUUCCAGUGCUUGGCCGGAUGUCCCGUCCUUGAACCAAGGCUCCCCCUCAACUGAGGCCCCUAGAGGCCUGUCAAAGAGGCCUCCUGAGGAU
Molecule: non-coding RNA, 1051 nt
Organism: Electrophorus electricus (electric eel)
Lineage: Eukaryota; Metazoa; Chordata; Actinopteri; Gymnotiformes; Gymnotidae
Source: RefSeq, a predicted model, not a curated record